UGGGGAAUAUUGGACAAUGGGCGCAAGCCUGAUCCAGCCAUGCCGCGUGAGUGAUGAAGGCCCUAGGGUUGUAAAGCUCUUUCACCGGUGGAGAUAAUGACGGUAACCGGAGAAGAAGCCCCGGCUAACUUCGUGCCAGCAGCCGCGGUAAUACGAAGGGGGCUAGCGUUGUUCGGAUUUACUGGGCGUAAAGCGCACGUAGGCGGACUUUUAAGUCAGGGGUGAAAUCCCGGGGCUCAACCCCGGAACUGCCUUUGAUACUGGAGGUCUUGAGUAUGGUAGAGGUGAGUGGAAUUCCGAGUGUAGAGGUGAAAUUCGUAGAUAUUCGGAGGAACACCAGUGGCGAAGGCGGCUCACUGGACCAUUACUGACGCUGAGGUGCGAAAGCGUGGGGAGCAAACAGG
This 404-nucleotide ribosomal RNA is filed under the name Actinomycetes bacterium. RNAcentral describes it as "Actinobacteria bacterium partial 16S ribosomal RNA". It matches the Rfam family "Bacterial small subunit ribosomal RNA", at positions 355 to 776 of the family's 1533-position model. Lineage: Bacteria; Bacillati; Actinomycetota; Actinomycetes. The record is from RNAcentral.